GGAAGGAUCAUUGGUCGGACCCUACGAACGACCCGCGAACAUGUUAAAAUCACCCGCGGGGAGGGGGCAACCUCCCCCCGCGUCGCAGCGGGAGCCGGACUAACGUCCUUCCUCCUCGCUGCGAGUAACGAACCCCCGGCGCGGAACGCGCCAAGGAAUACUUACGAGAGAGCUCGCCCCUCGGGGACCCGAACACGGAUAACCCCGAGAGGCGACGACUUCUUUCGCUAUAAUGUCUAAAACGACUCUCGGCAACGGAUAUCUCGGCUCUCGCAUCGAUGAAGAACGUAGCGAAAUGCGAUACUUGGUGUGAAUUGCAGAAUCCCGUGAACCAUCGAGUCUUUGAACGCAAGUUGCGCCCCAAGCCGCUAGGCCGAGGGCACGUCUGCCUGGGUGUCACGCAUCGUUGCCCCACACCUCCCUCGUUGUCUUCAGCGGGGCGUGGCGGUGAGGGCGGAUAUUGGCCUCCCGUGCGCUCUUGAGCGCGGUUGGCCCAAAUUUCAGUCUCCGGCGAGUGGCGCCGCGGCGAUCGGUGGUGUUGAAAGACCUCUCGAGAACACGUCGCGCGUCGCCCGUCGGGACUUGCGGACCCUAGCGCUUAGCGCUCG
Molecule: ribosomal RNA, 608 nt
Filed under: Galipea trifoliata
Lineage: Eukaryota; Viridiplantae; Streptophyta; Magnoliopsida; Sapindales; Rutaceae
Description: eukaryotic LSU rRNA
Rfam family: 5.8S ribosomal RNA (bases 244-399)
Source: RNAcentral